Long non-coding RNA from Caretta caretta (loggerhead turtle), 3169 nucleotides. RefSeq lists it as uncharacterized. The record is from RefSeq and is a predicted model, not a curated record. NCBI's taxonomy places the organism in Eukaryota, Metazoa, Chordata, Testudines, Cheloniidae.
AAAGGUCACCUGGAGAAAAACUCGAGCUACGAAAUCUCACGUCGUUAAAACACCGCCAAAAUCUGGAGUUUCAAGCCGACUAUACGUGUCUGGGGAAUAUCAGUACUACACACCUGCCAGAUCCUAGCAGCCCCUGACGUGGCCUAGACACGGCAAGUGGGAGAGUCUCGGGCGGGACUGGCCCACCCGAAGCCCCGCCCACAGAGCAGGAGGCCCCGCCCACAAUGCGGAACCUGGCCGGGUGGGGGCGCCGUGGCUGGCCUAUAGCUCGUUAUCGCCCGUUACCGUUGCGGCACCGGCCGGGCAGCAGGUGGGGGGCGGUGCGUUAAGUCUGUCCAGCCUGUGCCUUCUCCCGGCACCAGAGCGCAGGGAACUGCCUCUGGGUUCGGCCAGCCCAGCAAAAAGCGGAACCCGCAGCUAGUCUUGCGUCGGUGAGAGGGCAGCACGGUCUCCCUGCGACGCGCCCGUCCUCUCCCGAGCGUAGCCGUUCUACGCCCAGAAAUGGGCAUGUGACCCUGAAUGCCCCCCAUGUAUUGCCUCGAGAAGAUGUGGUGCCAAGUACCAGGAGGGAUGGGUUUGUCCCGGGGGCCCAGUCCAGCAUGGUGGGCGGAGAGCGCCAGGCAGGGAUGGUCGGAGGAUCUGGGAUUUCUGUGAAUAGCCGGUGUCAGGAUAUCACAGGGGAAUGAUGCAAAGGAACUUGGGAACUGGGAUGCAUCUAUUGUUAAUCUCCAGCGAAGACAAGUCUGGCAUAGCCCAGAGGAGAGUGCUUGAGUAGCUGAAAGCUCGUGCUAUUAGGGAAUUGAUACCCAGCCAGGCAUCGGCAAGAUUCCCUCAGCUGAAGGCGGGAGGUAACAAGGUGACUAGGCUCCUGGGUACCCCAAGAACCAUCACACAAAGUCACAAAUUUAUAAAUAAAUAAUUCAAGCUACUUUUGUGUGUUGCAAACAGUGCAGAUCAAAGCCAUAUGUAAAACUAUUAAAUAAAGAUAUUCUAGAAAAAGUUGCUCCUGACUGUGGAGUUUAGAAAGAAAUCAGUGAACCAUCACAUUCAGCUAGAUAAUGAGAUCUCACAUUUACAUUAAAAUUGUGCUUCCCAACAUUUAAUGGUUGGAUCAGUGGAACUGUGCCUGUGCCUUCUAGCAUACCUGAGGUCACAUUUGUUUUCUUUCUCCUGUCCUUUUUUUUCUGUCCUCUCAUUUUUCCUUCCAGUUGUGUUCCCCCCCUCCCGCCCCGCACCCUUCUGUGUUUUUUCUUCCUUACUGCCCUUUACCUUACAGCUUUAUUCAUCCCUCUCCUCCCUACUCAACUUCAAUUAUUUCUUGCUUUUUUCUCAGUUUUCAUUCUUCUCUGCAAUUCUCCCCACAUAGCUUUCCUUUGUUUUUCUCCCCGUUCCUUACUGCUGUGGUCUUUCUCUUCCCCAUGUUUGACACCAUACUAUGUUACGGACAGUACACAAAUGUGUGCACUGUUCAGCAGGGCUGGGAAGAGAGCACAGAGCUGGAGACUUGUGCCCAGCAGUUUCUCAUAUCAGGUAAGGACAGGUAUACAUCCAGAGCAGUAAACCCUAUACAAUGGAAAUUCCAGUCCUAAUAAGCUGAAUUUUGUGCUGUUUCUGAAUAGAUUUAAAUAAUAGAACAUAACUGAGAUGAAACUAGUCCUGAUCUGCUUAGUUGAAAGUCUUUGUUUUGUUUCAUCGCUGACUACUUUGAUAUAAUAUUAUUGUAAAUUGAUAUAUUUUAAACUGUAGUUGACUGAGGUGGCCACAGCGUGGUAGGAGUAUGCUUUUAAAGUAAUUGUGUCCACAGUAAUUUAAUCUUAACAGAUGGAAAAACGUGUAUCAUACUCUGAAUGUUCCCAGGAGAGAUUGUUGUAGCAUUUGCUCAGAAAAAUAAGAUGCAGAUCUUAAGAAAAGGAAAAUACUGGCAGCUAUCACAGUAAAAGACUACUUAGGCCAAUGAAGGAAUGAGGACUCAUUUGCGUAUCAGAGGAGGAUAGCAAUAUACUGAAAGACAUUUUUGGGAACUGUGGGGAAACAGGAUUCUUCAGAGGACUGGAGCUCCCAGUAUAAUGGAGCCUCAAUCAAGAGCAUGUGUUACCAUCAGGGCUUAAAUUCUCAAAGAUUAUUUCCCAGAGCCCCGGCACCUCCCACAGGGCUGAAGCCCCAAGCCCCAGCGGGCGCUGUGAAGGACCUUGAGAUUAAACAGCUUGAAUUUGAGACGGUGAAAGGAGAGCCAAUGGACAAUUCAGAGAGUGAGGUGAGAUGACUGGGGCAACAGGCAAGGAAGAUGAUCUUAAUAACUAUGUUUCAUAAGGACUAGAUGGGAGCAAGGUGGGCCAGAGAGGAGGUGAUUGCAGUAGACAGAAUGUGAGAUGAUAAGGGCCUGGACAAGUGUUUUAGCUAUCCGGAGAGAAAAAGGUGACCUGGCUUGGAACUGUUAUGGAGGAAACAUCAGCGGAUUUGGAGGUAGGCUGGAUCCGUGGACCAAAAGGGAGGAAGUAGUCAAAAAUAACUUCCAGGUUACUGCCCUGUUUGAGAGGAAGGAUGAUGGCACUGUCAGCGGUGCCAGAAAAAUAUACAUUUCAUCAAAAAGAUUUCUCAAAUUUGGAUGGAGGGAAAUAUCUAGUGCAUUAAGCCCAUCUGAAUAUUUAUAGCAUGCUGACAUGCUUCUGCCGACAAUUAAUCAAAUGCAGUGUGGCACGUGCAGGUGAUCUUAACUUUUAAAUUGUGGGAAAAGAAGAGCAGGUAAUAUUUAAGGUGAAAUAAAGGAUACAAUUUUCAAUACUGCAAUUGAAACUAAUUCUGAUUUUGAUUCAUUUCCAGUAUUAGCACUAUCCUUUAAUCAUCAGCAUGAAGAGAAAAAAAUAAUCUCUACUUCAUUGAGAUGUAUUUGGAACCCCAUUACAUUGAAGAUGACCCCAUGUUUUUCAAGGGAAACUGAUGCAGCGACAAAUCCCUUAAAGUCCAGAUUGUAGGUCCAUUAAGCAGGAAUUCCACACACACAAAAAUCAAUUUUCUACCAUCACCAUGAGUAUUCCACAUCUCUCCCCAAAGCAGCAUUACCUGCCCAAGCCGCCACUGAUGUCAGUAUUCAAUUAUAUGUAAAUUACAACCUGCUCCAACUCAUACUGAAGUUAGUAUCAAAACUCUAAUUGACAGCAGCAUAAUGGUA